UGGCGGACGGGUGAGUAAUGUCUGGGAAACUGCCUGAUGGAGGGGGAUAACUACUGGAAACGGUAGCUAAUACCGCAUAACGUCGCAAGACCAAAGAGGGGGACCUUCGGGCCUCUUGCCAUCGGAUGUGCCCAGAUGGGAUUAGCUAGUAGGUGAGGUAACGGCUCACCUAGGCGACGAUCCCUAGCUGGUCUGAGAGGAUGACCAGCCACACUGGAACUGAGACACGGUCCGAACUCCUACGGGAGGCAGCAUG
RNAcentral lists this ribosomal RNA (256 nucleotides) under uncultured bacterium. Its description in RNAcentral is "partial 16S ribosomal RNA". It matches the Rfam family "Bacterial small subunit ribosomal RNA", at positions 96 to 353 of the family's 1533-position model. The record is from RNAcentral.